Molecule: ribosomal RNA, 429 nt
Filed under: Gemmatimonadota bacterium
Lineage: Bacteria; Pseudomonadati; Gemmatimonadota
Description: Gemmatimonadetes bacterium partial 16S ribosomal RNA
Rfam family: Bacterial small subunit ribosomal RNA
Source: RNAcentral
UAGGGAAUCUUCUGCAAUGGACGAACGUCUGACCGAGCAACGCCGCGUGAGUGAAAAAGGUUUUCGGAUCGUAAAACUCUGUUGUUAGAGAAGAACAAGGACGUUAGUAACUGAACGUCCCCUGACGGUAUCUAACCAGAAAGCCACGGCUAACUACGUGCCAGCAGCCGCGGUAAUACGUAGGUGGCAAGCGUUGUCCGGAUUUAUUGGGCGUAAAGCGAGCGCAGGCGGUUUCUUAAGUCUGAUGUGAAAGCCCCCGGCUCAACCGGGGAGGGUCAUUGGAAACUGGGAGACUUGAGUGCAGAAGAGGAGAGUGGAAUUCCAUGUGUAGCGGUGAAAUGCGUAGAUAUAUGGAGGAACACCAGUGGCGAAGGCGGCUCUCUGGUCUGUAACUGACGCUGAGGCGCGAAAGCGUGGGGAGCAAACAGG